GAUGAACGCUGGCGGCGUGCCUAAUACAUGCAAGACGAGCGAACAGACGAGGAGCUUGCUCCUCUGACGUUAGCGGCGGACGGGUGAGUAACACGUGGAUAACCUACCUAUAAGACUGGGAUAACUUCGGGAAACCGGAGCUAAUACCGGAUAAUAUAUUGAACCGCAUGGUUCAAUAGUGAAAGACGGUUUUGCUGUCACUUAUAGAUGGAUCCGCGCCGCAUUAGCUAGUUGGUAAGGUAACGGCUUACCAAGGCGACGAUGCGUAGCCGACCUGAGAGGGUGAUCGGCCACACUGGAACUGAGACACGGUCCAGACUCCUACGGGAGGCAGCAGUAGGGAAUCUUCCGCAAUGGGCGAAAGCCUGACGGAGCAACGCUGCGUGAGUGAUGAAGGUCUUCGGAUCGUAAAACUCUGUUAUUAGGGAAGAACAAAUGUGUAAGUAACUAUGCACGUCUUGACGGUACCUAAUCAGAAAGCCACGGCUAACUACGUG
RNAcentral lists this ribosomal RNA (497 nucleotides) under uncultured bacterium. Its description in RNAcentral is "partial 16S ribosomal RNA". It matches the Rfam family "Bacterial small subunit ribosomal RNA", at positions 28 to 507 of the family's 1533-position model. The record is from RNAcentral.